RNAcentral lists this ribosomal RNA (253 nucleotides) under uncultured bacterium. RNAcentral's name for it is "partial 16S ribosomal RNA". It matches the Rfam family "Bacterial small subunit ribosomal RNA", at positions 524 to 776 of the family's 1533-position model. The record is from RNAcentral.
UACAGAGGUCUCAAGCGUUGUUCGGAUUCAUUGGGCGUAAAGGGUGCGUAGGUGGCAUGGUAAGUUGAAGGUGAAAUCUCGGAGCUCAACUCCGAAACUGCCUUCAAUACUGCUGUGCUUGAGGACUGGAGAGGAGACUGGAAUUUACGGUGUAGCGGUGAAAUGCGUAGAUAUCGUAAGGAAGACCAGUGGCGAAGGCGGGUCUCUGGACAGUUCCUGACGCUGAGGCACGAAGGUCAGGGGAGCAAACGGG